This 259-nucleotide long non-coding RNA is filed under the name Ananas comosus (pineapple). Its description in RNAcentral is "long non-coding RNA (ACOM_LNC032224)". Lineage: Eukaryota; Viridiplantae; Streptophyta; Magnoliopsida; Poales; Bromeliaceae. The record is from RNAcentral.
AUAUAUAUAUAUAUAUAUAUAUAUAUGAGUUGAGCUACGAUACUUUUACAAGUAUCACCAUCAUGGUGCUAUUAAGUUUUAAACCAUUGGAUCUACUUUUUGAUUAUUAAUAGUCCUUGGAUUAAACACUAUUCCACCUACCACCACCUACCACCAUCAUCUCAACCUCACAUCUCUCCAUCCAAGGGCUAAAAACACACAAGUAUCACCCCCAUGAUACUUUUACAAGUAUUCUAGCCCUACUCAUAUAUAUAUAUAU